AGAUUGAACGCUGGCGGCAUGCCUUACACAUGCAAGUCGAACGGCAGCACGGGAGCAAUCCUGGUGGCGAGUGGCGAACGGGUGAGUAAUAUAUCGGAACGUGCCCAGUCGUGGGGGAUAACGCAGUGAAGCUGUGCUAAUACCGCAUACGAUCUAU
Molecule: ribosomal RNA, 157 nt
Filed under: uncultured soil bacterium
Lineage: Bacteria
Description: partial 16S ribosomal RNA
Rfam family: Bacterial small subunit ribosomal RNA
Source: RNAcentral